AAUUCGAGAAUAAUGAAAUUGAAGGGGAGAGGAGGAGGAGAGGAAAUUCGAGAAUAAUGAAAUUGAAGGGGAGAGGAGGAGAUCGAUUUCAAAACCUAGAGUGACCAUUGCGGUAUCCGGUUCCAUCAUCGACAACGCUCGAUCCCUCGAGAUUGCCACUAGAUUGGCUGGUCAAAUUGCUCGUGCAGCAACCAUAUUCCGAAUUGACGAGGUAGUGGUAUUCGACAGUAGAAGGAGUUCGGUGACUGACUCGGAUGUUGCGGCAGCGAACAAUUCUGAUGAUGAGCAAAGUGGCGCUGCUUUUCUUAUAAGGAAUCAUGAACUUGAAGUAUCUUGAGACUCCACAAUACUUGAGAAAAGCUCUUUUCCCAAAGCACAACAAUCUAAGAUUUGUGGGGAUGUUGCCACCGCUUGAUGCUCCUCACCAUUUGCGCAACCAUGAAUGGGGUCCAUAUCGAGAAGACCUCAUUUUGUCAUGUUAAACUUGGGUGUUACCCUCACACUCAAAGAACAGCUCCGAAUGCUAGAGUAACACCCAGUUGAUGUUGGUCUGAGUAAGAUUUCAGCAGAUUAGAUUUGAAUGUUCAACUUCAGACCAUGAUUGUUAGAAACUGCAAAAUUCAUGAGCUCUCCUGGAGUCGGUUUCCCACAUGGCUUGAACUUGGCAGUUGAUUCAUUAGCGCCCAUGGUUCAUUUUUUAUUGUAACAAAAGGCUUAAAAAGAUAGUACGUCCUGCCCCUCAGUGUUGUAAUUUUAAUUGUCAUGGAAAUUGGGGCCGCUUAAAUUCAUGUUUGUGUGAUUUUCUAGGCCUUCUGAAUAUGGACAAGAUUUAAAUACACAUCAAAUAUUGUAUUUGGGAGAUCUAAUGUGUAUUUUCUCAUCAAAUAUAGUAUAUUUGUUCA
Long non-coding RNA from Cucurbita maxima (winter squash), 902 nucleotides. RefSeq lists it as uncharacterized. Lineage: Eukaryota; Viridiplantae; Streptophyta; Magnoliopsida; Cucurbitales; Cucurbitaceae. The transcript has 6 exons. The record is from RefSeq and is a predicted model, not a curated record.